UCAAUUUGUUAAAUUCAAUCUCUUAUUUAAUUUAAUUUCUGGCAUUUUCCUUCAAUACAUCUUUGAUGCAGACAGUGGGAACCAUUCCUCUGUGGAAAAAAAAAUACGGCAGCCAUAACAUAACGCUGUGCUGCUGCUUGUUAUGCCAACUUUAUUAUACAUAAUACCAAGAAAACUUUUCAAACCAAAUGCAACAGGUUUAUGCAGCUAUCGUCUAAGCUUCUCACAGAACAAUUUCAAGCUAGGCAAGAGAUAUGAGAGAUUUGGAGAACAAGGAGUUCAGAAAAUAAAGUUUAACCAUGCAGAAAUGGAUUAAUUCAUCACUGUUACUGAGCAGUGUAUAAGCUGGUAUGCUGUUACUAUAAAAAAAAGACUACGUUCACUGCUUAGUUUGUAAAGGACGACAAGAGGAGCGUUGCUGCAGCAUCUCCGAUCCAGUCUUCAACAGUGAGCAGUGCCUAUUUCUAAUCAGCAUAAGUGCCGGAAAGUGACAUAAAACUCAGGCAGUAAGCAGCAAGUGCCAUGCACCUCGAGCGCAAUUAUCAGCCCGGUCUAAGGAUGCCACUAACAGACGGCAGAGGAUUUCACCGGACAAAACCCCCAAAUUUGCCUGCCUUUCGACCCGGCCUCACAAACCCCGAGGUGCGCAGCUGUGCUUCCCUGUCGGAGGAGAAGCGAGGUACAUUCAGCCUGCUCUCAGCCGAUGCAAGGUUUGAAGCAAUGUCUCCAUCUCUGAACAUGAGCAGAAGAAGAAAAUUGAAGCAGUUUUCCAAUCUAGUUACUGGAUCACUGGUGAGGGAAAAGCUGGUAAAACAGAUGAAAGCGUCGUGUGGACUGGACUUGAUCUGUGGACUACCUGUAGAACCCGCAGAACUCAUCAGCAUCCCCUCUACUGCUUAUAUUCUACUUCAUGUAAAGGUUGUUGCUAGUUCUGGAAGAAAAAAACAAGCUUGCAAACAGAAAACCAAUUUGCUUAAAGCUUACCUUACACUGAAAGUUGUGGGCACACGGAGCAGAGCUGAUUGGCUAGCUUCAGCAGUGGAGUACCUCAAAAAGAAGUUGAUAUUAACUUCAACACCUGAAAAUCUUUCUCUGAAUAUUAUAUUUGAAUUCAUCUUAACACAGAGCGGGCAGAACAAUAAUAAAUAUCAAGUUUGUGCUGUUUGAAGCAGAUGCCCUGGCAGAAGCAAAUAAGGAACCAUCAACGGCAUGCCGCUCCAAAGGGAAGGGGUGCUGUGAACUAAGCCUGGCAACAAGGCAGGCAGAGGAGUGGCCUUACCAGCAAAGAUGAUGGUACCUGAGCAAAACAAGAAGAGCAGGUCCAAGGGACAGUAAUUAGGAUCAGCCAAAAGACCAGGUUGCUGCAGAAGUUCGUGGGGAUGAGGCAGGUCUGAAGUUGAGUCAAUCCUAAGGGUUGGGUCAGGUUUGGGAUCAACAGGGUGCAUGGCUUGGAUGCAGUGCACCUCGGAUAGCUCCCCUUCUCUUUUUGGCCUGUACAAGGGAAGACUAGCCUCCCAUCUUUAAUAGUUAAACUCACCUGCAGUCCUCGAACAAAACUUAGUACAGAGAUUUGCUCCAUCCCUGGACCACUGGACCGUCUGGGCAUUAGUUCUGCUCCUGAAUUUAAUAUGCUACAAGAGCAAGCCUGGUGAACCUAUUUUAAGGGAUUAUCAGUGAAUAUAUUUCCAUAUAAAUUUUUAAAAGUGUUUUUUUUUUAAGGAUGAUGUAGCCUUCUACAUCUUUAUUAUUGGAAUGUAACAUUUCCAUUGUGAUAUUUUUCUUUUCUGGGUUCAGACCUCUUCAAAAUAAUGAGAAAUCAGAUGGUUCGGGUAACUAAUGCUUGCUUACGUGCUGAGAUAGAUGUUGCUGAAUGUGCUGAAGACAAUAAAAUAAUUAUUUUACUUCUUGUAAGCA
This 1914-nucleotide long non-coding RNA is filed under the name Anas platyrhynchos platyrhynchos (common mallard). RNAcentral's name for it is "lncRNA (ENSAPLG00000017645.1)". The record is from RNAcentral. Lineage: Eukaryota; Metazoa; Chordata; Aves; Anseriformes; Anatidae.